AUGACAGAUCCUUUUUCACAUGGGGCCUUCAACACAGAAAACGUCAAGGAUCUCUUUGGAAAUGGGAUUUUUGUGACAGACGGGGACAAGUGGCGACACCAGAGGAAGCUAGCAAGCCACGAGUUCUCAACUAAUGUGCUACGCGACUACAACAGUAAUGUUUUCAGAAUGAAUGCUGUAAAACUGGCAGAGAAGACCUCAUCUGCUGCAGCUAACAGAAUUACCAUAAACAUGCAGGACCUUCUGAUGAGAACAACUAUGGAUUCAAUUUUCGAAGUGGGGUUCGGUUUUGAGCUUAACACGCUAUCUGGAUCAGAUGAAUCCAGCAUUGAAUUCAGCAAGGCAUUCGAUGAGGCAAAUUCUCUUGUUUACUAUCGGUAUGUUGAUAUGUUCUGGAAGCUGAAAAGGUAUCUUAAUAUCGGGUCUGAAGCUAAACUGAAAAAUAGCAUAAAGAUAAUUGACCACUUUGUGUUCCAGUUGAUCCAUCAAAAGAGAGAGAACAUGAAAAACAUAAGUGGCCAUAUGCAGAAAGCCAGAGAUGAUAUACUGUCAAGAUUCAUACUGGAAAAUGAGAAGGAUCCUGAGACGAUGAACGAUCGUUACCUUCGUGACAUAGUCCUCAGUUUCCUGAUUGCUGGUAAAGACACCACAGGAAAUACCCUUACAUGGUUCUUCUACAUGCUCUGCAAGAACCCAGUAGUGCGGGAUAAGGUUGCCUUUGAAAUCAGAGAAUAUGUCGAGUGGACACAAGAAGAUACCAGCAUGGAAAUAUUCACCGCAAGACUGAAACAAGGUGCUAUUGACAAAAUGCACUAUCUCCAUGCUGCGAUUACCGAGACUCUCCUGCUGUAUCCUGGUGUUCCGGUGGAUGGUAAGAUGGCAGAUGAAGAUGAUGUACUGCCAAACGGCCAACGAGUAAUAAAAGGAGAUGGAAUGAACUACAUGAUUUAUGCCAUGGGGAGAAUGAAAUACCUUUGGGGUGAGGAUGCCGAAGAACUCAGGCCUGAAAGAUGGCUUGUGAAUGGAGUCUUCCAGCAAGAGAGCCCUUACAAGUUUAUAGCUUUCAAUGCAGGACCUCGUAUCUGCUUGGGGAGAGAAUUUGCAUACAGACAGAUGAAAAUUGUGGCCGCUACACUGAUACAGUUCUUCAGGUUCAGACUGAAGGAUGAAUCCAAGGGUCCAAUAUACAAAACAAUGUUUACUCUGCACAUGGAUAAGGGGCUUCAUGUACUUGUGUACCCCCGUGAAAUUCAAGCUUGA
This 1260-nucleotide ribosomal RNA is filed under the name Triticum aestivum (bread wheat). Its description in RNAcentral is "partial small subunit ribosomal RNA". The record is from RNAcentral. Lineage: Eukaryota; Viridiplantae; Streptophyta; Magnoliopsida; Poales; Poaceae.